GUUGUUAGACGUCAUCAGCUUUCCCCGUGGUCCGCCAAAUGCUGAAAAUUUUCUUUGAAUAAUGUCGGUGAACACGUGUUUUGACAAAACAUCGGUUAAAAAAAAGAACUGAAAAUUAGACAGUAGCUGAAAUAUUCGAACUAAUAGAUUUAUGGCGGACAAACUUGAAAGAUCUACGCCGGACAAAACGGAAUAGAGGAAUUUAUGAAAAGAUUGCCCGGCAUUUUUCUGAUCAUUUACCUGACAGACCACAAAUGUGGACUGAAAUAAGAACGAAAAUAAAAAGUUAUUGCUUUUCUAUUAUCCAUUUUAUCUCGUUGUUUAUUUACAAGGUAUUUCUGUAUAGUAUAAAAUUCGCUCCACGCUUACUUUGUUAAAUGUUGCCAAUAUAUCAUUCAGUUUGAAACAAUUAAUGAAUGGAAAAUAAAAUAAAAUAUGCCUAUAAAAGUACUAUCUUACUUCAUAUAUACAAUAAUUUCACUUACAGAAUAAUAUAAACAUAACAUAGAGAUUUGUUUGUGCAAAUAUAUUACAAAUAUUUUUUUAAUAAAAAUAAUGGUCACUAGGAGACACAUCCUAUUUUACAUAUUUAAACUAAACCGUAGAACACGUAUUUAAACGGGUUUUUAGAAUCUAAGAUAAGCUGGCUUCAAGUCAGCUAAAGUUUACUGUCUGAAUUAGGUAUUACUGUAGGUGUGGCAGCAUGAGGAGCAUAGGGAUGUCUAGUUGUUUAUUAAAUAAGUGACCUAUAUAAAUGGUGUCCCUACUACUAUUCAAUGUUUUAUACAUAAAUCUAAAUAUUGAAACUAAAUCUAAAAUUUUUAAUCUAUGUAUUUUUACAAAAAUACGGUAUACCCCAGAAUAUAUUUGGAUUAAGGUUAUCUGCAAUCUGAAAGUAACAAAUAGUACAUCUAAGAUAAAAUCAGUUUUUAUAUAUCCCAUAUGCAUUUCUUUAAAAAGCUAGUUAAUUAAGAUGUGACUUUAAUUUGAUUUUAAAAUUAUAAUAGUGUGUAUUUUAAAAGUUUGCAAUAACUAAAAUAACAUUUUUAAAUAUUAAAUGUCCAUAAUUUCCUUUUCCCCUCCUAGAUUAUCUGGGAUAAUUUAUUUCUUGGCUCUCUGCACCGAAAUAGCAACUGCUUAUCGAAACUAUCUAGACCAAGAUAAGAUUCCAUGCCUGCUUUUGAUGGCUCGUACCAAUCAUUGAUCCCUAAAUCUGCUGGUUCUUCCACAGAUGUGGACAGUUCGUAGUUAGGUCUGAGGGUGGAAUAGAUUGUAUAGUAAUUAAUCAAUGAUUGGAAAGUAAAUUAAAAAAUUUGAAUUUAUUUUUGCUAAAAACUGUUUUUUGAAUUAAGCUGCUGAAUUAUAUAGGAUGCUUUUGGCAGUAACCUCUUUAAGCCCUACAGAUUGGCCAGCACUGGAUGAUCAACCAGAAGGUCAAUGGAGUUACUGUCUUAGUCGGACUUGGAAUAUUCCUAAUAGACAUGUGGGAUCUGGAAUUGAACCCAGGUUAUCCAGGAUAGCAAGUGACUGAUUUUACUAUUUUUGUGGUUGAUGCCAUAAACUUUGACACUUAAAAUAUUCCAUCUUUUUAAGUUUAUCUAAAUAGUGCUGAUAGGCAUAAGAUAUUUUAAGAAUAAAACUGCAUAUUGAAUAUUUUAAAUAGUAGUAGUAUGCAACAAUAUUUGAAUAAUAUUCCUAAUAGUAAAUGUUUUUUUAAUAUUUUG
RNAcentral lists this long non-coding RNA (1724 nucleotides) under Androctonus crassicauda. The record is from RNAcentral. Lineage: Eukaryota; Metazoa; Arthropoda; Arachnida; Scorpiones; Buthidae.